AAACACGGGAGGACUUUGCAUGGGCCCUAUCUGAAAUAAAUGCCAAACCUUCAAAUACCAGCAUCCAUGAAAACAAAGGGCUUAAACUUGGAAAACAAUGUUAGUGAGGCACAAAUGAUCUCUUCACUGCAACCUGCUAACGACUCGCAUCUGUGGUUGAGGGUGGCUGUUAAUGGAUGAUAGUGGAAUCCUAUGAGAUACUACAAAUGUGUGGCUUCAUUCUUUCUUCAGGGGCUGAUGGCUCAGAAAACAGAAGCAGUAAGAAGAAUGAUCCUGAAUAAUCAUUGAAGUACAGAAAACAGCAACAGUUUCUAUGAAUCUAUAUGGUAACAACACAGAAAAGGCAUAUAAAAAAACUGCUCUCCAUUCUCAAAUCUGAAAUACAGUUUCAGUCACCUCAAAGAACUGGGAAAGCUUACUCAAAAGAAAAGCGAUAAACAUUUGUUGAAUGAGUAAAUCAAGUGAAGAAACUAAACAAUAUUAAAGUUCAUAUACUGAAUGGCAAGGGAAGAUAAAUUGAUAAAAAUAAUUGAUAUUAGAUCACAAAAUAAUUAGUUUACUUAAAAAGAUGAUCAGGACAGAAAAGCUGAAGCUAGUUCUCACAGGAAAACUGAAAGAGAUUUUAUGGCCUUUCAACAGCAAGAAAUCAAUGGCAGUGACAGGAUACCUACCAUUGACUGAAAGGAUGCUAUGAUUAUAUGGGAGAUCUCUGAAUUAAUGUCACAACACCGAAGCAAAGUGGUUUUGAGGCAAGACAAGAAAACAAAAUUAAAUAAUGGCAUGGCAAUGUAUUGGAAUAACAGAACAGAAGGUGACUGAAAUAAUUAAAGUGGUCAGCGAUAAAAAAGUGCCAGGUCUUGACGUGAUGCUGAACUUGGAAGACAUUUUUGAGCUGUUUCUGCUAUAAUACCUGGAGUUCCACAAACUACUCUCACCACUGGGGAAAAAGUAAUUCUCAUUACUUACAGUCUCAUAAAGUCCCAGAAUUAUAGAAUUAGAAGGAACUUGACAGAUCUUGUGAAAUUGCCUAAUUUCACACAAGAAGAAACUGAGUCUCAGGGGAUUUAUAGUUUUGUUUCCUCCAAGACCAAAUGUAGGGAGAGGAACCCACUUUUCUCAUAUGAAAAUUCAGACAACACCUGAGUUAUAAACAUUCUAGAAUCUGGAAUCACAACAAGAGAAAGUGACCUUUAUUUUCACUUCAAAAUACUUAGGGAGUAAUUAGUAUAGGAGAGAUAAUACUAAUGGGACGGGAAGGGAAAAGGACAGGAGAUGGUAUGUAACACCUGUGGCAGGCACUACCUAGUGCAAAGGCAAGGAGGCUGGAGAUGGCAUCUUCCAGUGAGAAAUACCAAGUAGGUCAAUAUGGCUUGACUGUUGGGUAUCUCAAGUGGGGUAAUAUAUAAUUAUAAGAAGAUAAUAUAUUUGUAUUAGUACCCAAUGGUUUUUUAAAAAGGUUUUUAAAUCAUAAAGUCAGAGUAGUGCCUUAGGAGGAUUAUAUUAUUACUAAUACUUCACUCCUACUGAUAAUAUUCAAUAUAUCCUGUUUGUGCAUAGU
Non-coding RNA from Phascolarctos cinereus (koala), 1558 nucleotides. The record is from RefSeq and is a predicted model, not a curated record. Lineage: Eukaryota; Metazoa; Chordata; Mammalia; Diprotodontia; Phascolarctidae.